RNAcentral lists this ribosomal RNA (421 nucleotides) under uncultured Dysgonomonas sp. RNAcentral describes it as "bacterial SSU rRNA". It matches the Rfam family "Bacterial small subunit ribosomal RNA", at positions 356 to 774 of the family's 1533-position model. The record is from RNAcentral. Lineage: Bacteria; Pseudomonadati; Bacteroidota; Bacteroidia; Bacteroidales; Dysgonomonadaceae.
GGGGAAUAUUGGACAAUGGGCGCAAGCCUGAUCCAGCCAUACCGCGUGGGUGAAGAAGGCCUUAUGGGUUGUAAACUUCUUUUAUACAGGAAUAAAAAGGCUUACGUGUAGGCCAUUGCAAGUACUGUAUGAAUAAGCAUCGGCUAACUCCGUGCCAGCAGCCGCGGUAAUACGGAGGAUGCGAGCGUUAUCCGGAUUUAUUGGGUUUAAAGGGUGCGCAGGCGGGCUUUUAAGUCAGCGGUGAAAUCUGGACGCUUAACGUCCAAACUGCCGUUGAAACUGGGAGUCUUGAGUAUGGAUGAAGUAGGCGGAAUUCGUUGUGUAGCGGUGACAUGCAUAGAUAUAACGAGGAACUCCGAUUGCGUAGGCAGCUUACUAAGCCAUAACUGACGCUCAUGCACGAAAGCGUGGGGAUCAAACA